UCGAACGCACAGCGAAAGGUGCUUGCACCUUUCAAGUGAGUGGCGAACGGGUGAGUAACACGUGGACAACCUGCCUCAAGGCUGGGGAUAACAUUUGGAAACAGAUGCUAAUACCGAAUGAAACUUAGUGUCGCAUGACACGAAGUUAAAAGGCGCUUUGGCGUCACCUAGAGAUGGAUCCGCGGUGCAUUAGUUAGUUGGUGGGGUAAAGGCCUACCAAGACAAUGAUGCAUAGCCGAGUUGAGAGACUGAUCGGCCACAUUGGGACUGAGACACGGCCCAAACUCCUACGGGAGGCUGCAGUAGGGAAUCUUCCACAAUGGGCGAAAGCCUGAUGGAGCAACGCCGCGUGUGUGAUGAAGGCUUUCGGGUCGUAAAGCACUGUUGUAUGGGAAGAACAGCUAGAAUAGGGAAUGAUUUUAGUUUGACGGUACCAUACCAGAAAGGGACGGCUAAAUACGUGCCAGCAGCCGCAGUAAUACGUAUGUCCCGAGCGUUAUCCGGAUUUAUUGGGCGUAAAGCGAGCGCAGACGGUUGAUUAAGUCUGAUGUGAAAGCCCGGAGCUCAACUCCGGAAUGGCAUUGGAAACUGGUUAACUUGAGUGCAGUAGAGGUAAGUGGAACUCCAUGUGUAGCGGUGGAAUGCGUAGAUAUAUGGAAGAACACCAGUGGCGAAGGCGGCUUACUGGACUGUAACUGACGUUGAGGCUCGAAAGUGUGGGUAGCAAACAGGAUU
RNAcentral lists this ribosomal RNA (735 nucleotides) under uncultured bacterium. RNAcentral's name for it is "bacterial SSU rRNA". It matches the Rfam family "Bacterial small subunit ribosomal RNA", at positions 62 to 779 of the family's 1533-position model. The record is from RNAcentral.